Molecule: long non-coding RNA, 2754 nt
Organism: Spinacia oleracea (spinach)
Lineage: Eukaryota; Viridiplantae; Streptophyta; Magnoliopsida; Caryophyllales; Amaranthaceae
Exons: 2
Source: RefSeq, a predicted model, not a curated record
UGACCUAUAGCAACGCCAAAUAAGACAACAGUUUUCACACCGUUGCAAUAUAUAGUCUAUAGAAACACUAUUUCGAGUGUGAAGAUAGCUUCAUCCGGGUUUAAUAAAAGCGUUGCCAUAAUUGAGAAAAGGCAACGGUUAUAUCUUUUUUUUAUAGUUUUCUUAGCUACUGCAACACUUUCUACCCUAUGAACAUGAUAUUUUUCUUUUCUUUGGAAUUUCCCUUAACCUAAAAUCCCCUCAUCUUUUCAUUAAUUAUCUAAUUCGAUUUUUCACAUUCUGUCACUAGCCCACCAAAACCCCUCAAUCUCAUCCAAAAUUUCCCUCAUAUCUAAAUUCUUCCCUUAACAAACUUAAUUAUUUUUUCCCCUUUAAUUUCAUAUCUUAAAAAUCUGAAUUAAAUUAGGGUUUCAAUUUUGGUAAUCAAUCUCUCUCACUUUCUAUCUCCUCCAAUGCCGUCAAUGGUGAACAAUUCAGUCCCACUUUCAUCAUCAUCCCCGUUAACGGUGUGGGCAACAACUUUUAGGGUUAAUCAGUGAUCGCGGUCGUGCAAAGCUUCAGAAGUCGCGCAACCUUGAGUAGUUCUGCAAGUUGUCAUCGCCGGAAGCCAAAGCGGCGACAAGUCGAUUGUUCUCAAAGCUCUCGUGGCCUGCGGUAUCUCACCACGAGGGUGCAGAUUAAGAGGAGCGGGGUGAGUUCUUGUAUAUUUAUCGAAAAAAUUUAUGAUUUUAAUGAUAUUCAUAAGGAAAUUCAGGUGAUUGUGAUUGAUAUUGCGUUUUUGUUAUAUUUAUGAAAUUUAGGUAUUUCUUCGUGAGAAAAAAAGAAGAUUUGAUUUUUUAUUUAUAAGUGUUUAUGGAAAAUUAUUAUUAAUUCAUGGAUACCUUGACAACUUUGAUGUUAGAAUAGUCGUAUGAGUUGUAAUGGAUAUUUAAAUUAGAGGAAAAUGAGUUGAAUAUAAUGUUUGAAAAUGAUGAUCUCCUUGCUUUUGAGUUAGUGUUUUCGUGGUUUUUAGGGCUCUUCCUUUAUUUGUGUUGUCAUGGAAUUAUUAUAGGAACAUGGAGGUCAAAUUUCUAACACUAUAUCUACUUUUUACUAAAUUUACAUGCGAAGCAGAGCCCUCGGUAGAGUUUCCCACCACCAUUUGUGACCUCACAAUAUAAUGUUUGUAGAUGCUAAUCAUCAUAGAAAUUAUAUACAAUAUAUAAUCUUACACUAUAUUGUGUUCUUCUGAUUUUUGUUAAUCAGAGAAGAAGUCAUGCUUUUUAAUUAUAAAGAAACACAUCCCAAUUUCAAAGAGUCUUAGGAUUCCUUAAGAAAACAUGGGUGAACUCAUAAGCAAUUAUUUUGGUAAGACAAUGACAGAGUAUUCAUCCUUGCCUGUGGGGCUUAUUUCAGUAUAGUAUAGUUGUUACCCUUUUUCUUUCUUUUUUAUUGAGACCUUACUUGUUGCCUGCUGAUUUUUUCUGAUUACACAAGCACAAAUCCAUGACCAGGCUUGCCUAUAGAAACAUAUAUUAGAAUUUUUUUCUAAAUGCACAGUUGACCCAUAUAACACUCAAAGUGUUAGGGGAGGUAUAAAAGGAUAUCAAAUACCUUUUACUAUAUAUGUUUUCAUGUUGUAAAUCUAUAUGGUCAACCAGGUCUAGACCUCAAUGGAGAAGGAUAUUGCCUUGGACAUUACCAAGGAAUUGAACAACAGGGUAGAACAAUUCUUUGUAUAUUUUUAGCUUUCACAAUUCUAAGCAGCUGAAUGAAAUGCUGGACAAUCUAAUGUUUACUUUAUUGCUUCAGUAGUACAAAUAUUAACCACAAUGAGGACUAUGGAGGCUCCUGCAUGAGGUAAAGCCACUUCGUAUUUUUUUAUAACUAAGCUACAAGUGUGGAAUCAUUUCGUGUACAACUUAUCUAAGAGAAUGUAUUACAUUUUGUGUUGAUAGACAAAUUAAAAAGCUAAUUAAAUGCUUGAUUAGGGAAAUGAGAAGGAUAUUCUUGAAAAUGAAAAUUCAGGUGAGAGUUUUCUAUUAGUAUUAUGCUGCUCUGUUUUGAAUAUUUGAUACGAGUUAUGUCACAUUCUGUUUCUCAAAAAAUUAGGUUGCUUUUACAUUAGCUUUUCUUGUUCUCUAAUGAGUAAAAUAACUCUUGGCUAUUUAAAAAGACGGGACAAGUGAACCAUGAAAUAAAGAGAACAUUUGCGUUGAAGAACCUACUUAGAUAAUUAUUAGUUUAAUUUCGUUAUUUGGGAGUUGCUAUUCAUGAUUUAGAAGAGUUGUCUGAAUUCCAACUCCAACUACAUGAAUAUCAUAAUGCAGUCGCCACUUCUUAUGGUUGUUUGUAAAAGUUGUUAAACCCUUGCGCUUUAAUUAAUGAUUCAUCUUCUAUCUUGUAAUAUAAAGUAAUUAACCACCAUUUUCUUGCAGGCUCAUACUUGAUAGUUCUUUUUGUUAUACCAGGCUUCUAUUCAAAGGAUGAUAAUUAUCAUGACAUGAGCUCAUCGUUAUUGAUUAGGAUAAUACAUAUGUUCAAAUUUCAAGUAUUACAAGCUUCAUGGAUAAGUGAAGAUCUAUUGGAUUUUUUCAUAUAAUAUUAGAUAGGUCUUAGAAGAUAUAGUUUACCGGGCCAUGGCCUUGGAAUAUUUAUUUUAGUGGAUGUAACAUUAGAAAUAAUAUUUUCUCUGCUAAGAUGGUUGUAAAUCAUGGAAUGAAUAGUGUGUUUAUGGGUUAAAGUUAAUUUGGAAUGCGCUAUAAGUUUUCUGGA